AACAGAGCAGCAGGUAUCGGCCGGCAGUAAACGUCGGUGCUCGGUAAUUAUUGACCGUGCGGAUAAAACAAGUCCGACACGUCGCCGCAAGUAACGUGCCUGCUAACGAAAUGUCACGGUGUAACUUUGUGUUACACAUUGUAUGCAAUCGCGGGCACGAAAGGCCGAUCGGAUCGGUUCGCAUCUUGUCAUGAGAUUCGACACAAUUUUGACGUAAACUGUGAGAGGCGGAUGAUAAUUCAAUCAAAAACGCCAAUCAAUCAGUGUCAACCAAUUAAUAAAAAUGAUUUUACGAUCAAAGAUAUAAAUCAAUUCAAAAAAAGGAAGAAAGAACGCGUAUAAUCGAUUAAUCCGCGGCACCGGAUUAAUUACAGAGCAUGGAGCUCGAGCGAUCAGUCUAGCAACAUUCUUAAUUGCAAUUACCUGUUAUGACUGAGUGUCGCGUUCGUUAAUAAUAUAAGAGACUCCCAAAGUUAUAAUACUUUUAACGAUUAUUAUAAUG
Molecule: long non-coding RNA, 502 nt
Organism: Wasmannia auropunctata (little fire ant)
Lineage: Eukaryota; Metazoa; Arthropoda; Insecta; Hymenoptera; Formicidae
Exons: 3
Source: RefSeq, a predicted model, not a curated record